Molecule: ribosomal RNA, 486 nt
Filed under: uncultured bacterium
Lineage: Bacteria
Description: partial 16S ribosomal RNA
Rfam family: Bacterial small subunit ribosomal RNA
Source: RNAcentral
AUUGAACGCUGGCGGCAUGCCUUACACAUGCAAGUCGAACGGCAGCACGGGUGCUUGCACCUGGUGGCGAGUGGCGAACGGGUGAGUAAUACAUCGGAACAUGUCCUGUAGUGGGGGAUAGCCCGGCGAAAGCCGGAGUAAUACCGCAUACGAUCUACGGAUGACAGCGGGGGACCUUCGGGCCUCGCGCUAUAGGGUUGGCCGAUAGCUGAUUAGCUAGUUGGUGGGGUAAAGGCCUACCAAGGCGACGAUCAGUAGCUGGUCUGAGAGGACGACCAGCCACACUGGGACUGAGACACGGCCCAGACUCCUACGGGAGGCAGCAGUGGGGAAUUUUGGACAAUGGGCGAAAGCAUGAUACAGCAAUGCCGCGUGUGUGAAGAAGGCCUUCGGGUUGUAAAGCACUUUUGUCCGGAAAGAAAUCCUUGGCUCUAAUACAGUCGGGGGAUGACGGUACCGGAAGAAUAAGCACCGGCUAACUACGUG